RNAcentral lists this long non-coding RNA (4627 nucleotides) under Sus scrofa (pig). RNAcentral's name for it is "lncRNA (ENSSSCG00000044103.1)". The record is from RNAcentral. Lineage: Eukaryota; Metazoa; Chordata; Mammalia; Artiodactyla; Suidae.
UUUUUUGUUUUUUUAGGGCCACCCCUGUGGCAUAUGGAGGUUCCCAGGCUAGGGGUCAAAUCUGAGCUGUAGCCACUGGCCUACACCACGUCCACAGCAAUACCCAAUCUGAGCUGUGUCUGUGACCUAUACCACAGCUCACGGCAUCGCUGGAUCCUUAACCCACUGAGCGGGGGCCAGGGAUCAAACCUGCGUCUUCAUGGAUGCUAGUCAGAUUCGUUUUCUGCUGAGCUACAAUGGGAACUCCCCAUCUUUCUUUUAUUUUUUUUCAGUUGUUGUUCUAGGAUUUAAAAGAUCGUCAACUUGGAGUUCCCGUCCUGGCUCAGUGGUUAACGAAUCCCACUAGGAACCUCAAAGUUGCACGUUCGAUCCCUGGCCUUGCACAUGGGUUAAGGAUCCGGCAUUGCCGUGAGCUGUGGUGUAGGUCGAAGAUGCGGCUCGGAUCCUGCGUUGCUGUGGCUGUGGUGUAGGCCAGCUGCAACAGCUCCGAUUAGAUCCCUAGCCUGGGAACCUCCAUGUGCUUCAGGUGCAGCCCUAAAAAAAAGCCAAAAAAAAAAAAAAAAAAAAAAAUGGGCAUCAGGGAAUAUGCCCUUCUUCGGGCCUGAGCAGAGUUUUCAACCCACUCCUGACCUUAGACAGCUAUAAUUCCAAAAGCCAUUUAAAUCUUGAGCUUUUCUAGGCUUGGGAUUUCUUUAGCAGUACAAGAUUUUUUAAAAAACUUUAAUUCCAGUCACAUUCACGCUCUGAUAACUAUACCUAUAGCUCUUUCCCAGGGAGAAUUCUUAGAUUUGCUCUGCUGUUUUUGCUUUAUCAUCACCCCAUCUCUUUCUUGUCUUCAUUUCUGGUCCCACAGCUUCAACCUCUUUUCUUCGGGCCAUUUCUGUCCAAUUGCAAGUACUUUCUGGAUGUAAACUCUAUCCAUCCAGAAGUUUUAACAAGACGUUAUGUUGCAACAACUAUAAAAAUUUCUCAUUCUCACGUUUGACUGUAUGGAUUGAAAAGCAGUCAUGCAAGUCCCUGAGUUUUUGAAAUCUUUCUAUUCUUUUUUAUUCCUGCUUGUAAAUAUACAACAUCUUUAAGAAAAAAAAAAAAGAGAGAGAGAGAAUAAAUUAGCUUUUCUUGUAAUGCCUUGCCAAACACCCUCAAUAGCAGCCAACCCAUGCUUGCUGGCCCCACGUAUUUUAGGCUAUUCAUUAGAGCAGCACCCAAAAUUAUAGGCACCAGUUCUUAUGCCAGUCAGAGUAGACUGGGUUGUGCAAAAGUCAAAAACAACUUCAAAUCUCAGUGGUUGAAAAAGGAGUCGGAGGCGGGGAGGAAGAAUAGGAGCUAUUUCUGUUCACGUGCCUUAAGCACCGCAGGCCGUCAGCGGUAUCUGUUCGCUGCUGUCAUUCAGGGUCCCAAACACUGUCUCAAAAACAGCUGGUCAUCCCUCCAGGCGUAAAGACAGACUGCGCCACACCAGCUCUGAGAGAAGGACCCAGAAGCACAGCCGCCAAAGCAAGUCUUGAGGCCACACCCACCUCCAAGGAAGUUGGAAACACAACCCUCACGUGUGGGCCCAGAAGGAAACCUGGACCCACUGAGUGGACAACACGCGUUAUCACAGAGGAGGGUUGAGAGAAGCUGAGGUAGGGACUUGAUAAGUGACUGAAACAAAGACACCUCAGCACAUCAAAGGAAGAAAUGCCCUUCCCACCAUCAACUUCUACUCGGAGAGUUCCUAGACUACAGACACCAAAACCAAAAUAAAAUGUAAAGGAACAGUCUCAACAGCGUCCGCUCAGACGGAAAACAUCGCAUCACUACUGCCUGUGAGAAAAACAUUUCCCCAUCUCCUCUACUUAGCAGAGGAGAGGCCUUAAUCUGGAAGGCUUCUCCUAGAUGAAAUAAUUUAGAGCUUAGAUUUUCACCCCUUACACGACUUCUGAAUGUCCUCUCUCCGCAGCCUCUCCAACCUUCUGAGAGGACAUGGGCUACAAAGAAAAAAAGACUCCGAGAUGGGCUUAGCACACACGAGAUACCGGAGCUUCUCUUAGGCGGAAGCUUGGGCGAGUCAGUCGCUGGGACUUGCUAAGGUUUCCUUCCUGUUCCACUCGCACUGCAGGGCUGUUGGAAAGCUUAGUCCGGUCAUGUUUGAGGAGUGCCUUGAACCUCUCAACACUGGGGUGCCAGGACCAUUUACCACAAGAUCGUCCUUUCAAAUAAGACUCAGCAAACCCAUCUCUGUUUCUCUACUAAAAUAUUAACCGGAGCCACAAAGUGCCACCCUUUAGCAGAAUUAGCAGAUUGCUCCUUAGCACACCUCAACUGCAUCAGCAGGACCUGCAUCAGCAGGACACCCCUGCCCCAUCAUCCUGCCUCUCCUCAAGCUGUUCGGCACCUAAAAGCUUCACUAUUCCGCAGCGGGAUGUGGGCCUCCCGCUCCUCCUUGCGUGCUGCUUCCGGCCACCACUGCCUGAAGAGCUCCUCGAAGAGAAAGCUAUUCACGCCCAUCAAGCACUGACUGUUGCCAGAGCCUGCAACGCCCGCCAGCCGGAAUGUGCUCACGAGACUCGUGGGCAGGGGAAGCAGGGAAGGGGGCUGUGCCGCAAGACCUCAGAAUCAGCUUCCACGUCCAGCUGACCGGUUAAGGGGGCAGGUCCCAACUCGAUGGCCCAUCACCCUCCUGUCGCUUCACACCGGCUUUAGUGCUGGAGUAACUGUCUAAUUAGGAUCUUGUUCAUGAAUCAUAUAUAUACCAGGGUCGUCACCAAUUCCAUUCUACUUCUGCUCAAAAAGUCGUUCUUUCUAUGACUAUUAAAAUGAAGUGAGGAGAAAUGUUAGAGUCUCAUGCGAUUGGUGACGCCUCCAGCUACCAACGCCAAGCAUCACAGAACUCCUUGUACGUGAUUCGGUUGUGAAAUACAGGAGGUGGUUAACUAAAUAUCCAUCAUCGUAUUAGUGCAUAAACCUCUCAAUGAGUUAGCAAUUUACAGGGAAUAUGAUCGAAUGCUUUCAUAUCAAAAUUAACAAUAUGUUUAUGUUCCGUUGGAAACAGCGUUCAAGAGCACGGGGACCCACGAGGUUAUCUUCAUAAAACUGUCAUCACACCACAGACAGACGCGACAGAUACUGUUAGUGGCCUGGUUAAUGAGUGGCUGGUGUCACUACGCCUCCUUCUGUCCAUUUACAGGCUCCUACUAUGGUGACUCCGGGUUCACAGUCAUGCCACUUGCUUUAGCCAAUUGGACAGCAACAAACUUGACACCAGCAGAGACUCGAAAAAGUCCUUGCACGUGUUUGCUUCCUCUCUGGUGCGUCUGCCUUCAGGAUUCGAACCCUCCCAGGGGAGCCCACUCGUGGGUAAGACCUACGGAGCUAAGUCAGCCGGAUGUUCCUGCCAAAGCCUCAGACGGGUCAGGGAUGCCACUGCCUUGCGGACCUGCUGCCGCCCCCAGAUGACACCAGCAGCUCUGGCUCCCAUCCGCAGAGACAUGGUCACAUGACCCGUGGAAAAAAAUAAACAUUUACUAUAGUGUGCCACUUAGGUUUGAGGUUGAUGUGACACGGCAUUUUCAUUGCCAUCUGGAAGUAUUAUUAAACAGAGAUUUGAGGUUAAUAGAAUGCCAGACAAUAGAGUUCACGUUGCCUAAAAUUAGUCUUGAAAUCUGUUAGUACAAAAUUCUCUUAUGGAGCUACACUGUAACAUAUUAUGAAACUUCUGAGGGAAAAAAAUAUUAAUUUAAAAUGUUCUUUAAAUGUCAUUUUACCAUAUUGAGCGAGCAAACAUUGCUGCUGAAAAGUCUCUCCACUCUUCCCUUUUUUCUCCUAAACAAAUAGACAUACGUGCAAAGCUAGGAAGACCGUCUGCAGGAAGGACGUUUCUCAAAGCUGAGCAGUGAGGGCAGCUUUGGCUCCAAAACACCUGUACCUCUGCUGAGAACGCACGGAGCUCCCGAGAAAUGGCAGUGGCUGUGAAGAGCCCCCAGAACACUUCUCCGACAGCCUCGCUAAGACGGAAGGACCUGUACACCCCGCCCUGUCUGAGAGGCUAUGGUCCCCCUGCACUGGGGUCUUUAAACAAGAGCCCCCUCGGUGCUCAGAGUCUUUGCCCUUCCAGAAGCUCUGACAUGGAGCAUCACAGCACCGCGCCACCAGGCCUUCAGUGGUCACCCAUGCGGGGCAAGGCGCCACACCGGUUCAGCAUCCUGCAAAGCCAGAGCGAAGGCUUGAACACGACGGUGGGAACAUUUCUUGGACUUUGAAGUGCACCUGCCUUUAAACAUGAGUCACUGUCUUGGAAAAGUACGUGUCUCUGGUGUCCUUGCUCAGGAGCUGCAAAGAGCGGAAGGCCAUUCCUUUCUAAACAAGACGCGUGCUGUGACUGCUCUGUCGUUCUCACCCACUCGAUAGCAAAGCCUCCGGUUAAGAAUUACAAACUCAGCCCCUCCUGGCAGCCUCUCCUACCUUAAAGUCAAGCCUCUUCUCCUCUUGGGCUCACUUCUCCCUACAAAGAAGUCAGCUCAGGGAUGUGAUACGUCACAGCCUAAGGAGGGAAGACCGGGGUGUAAAGGGUUUUUACCCCCAAAACAAGGCAAAGCAAUACUAGGAAAGGAAUUUGGACCUUCGAACGCCCAGCCCAGUACUU